GAUUUGAAAUAUGUCAAAUUCCUGGAUGCUGUGCAGAGCCCUGUUAGCCCACUAGGGAUCUGAGGGACUUCCAAGACUAGGAAGGACCAUGGUAGUAAAAUGCAUGCUCCACACACUUCAUCCCCUGGGGAAGUAGAGGAGAGAAAACAGAGGUGAGAUGUUGCUCAUGUCAACCAGUGUAUACAGGAGGGGGCCAUGGCCCCAUCGCUAUGACCAUCUAAAGAACUACUUUGAGUAGGACUUCUUGUUUCUGAUUUAGGGGUGGGCAAUAGCACAGCAGACACCUCCAAGGCCAGCUUCAGGAUGCGACCCAGCAUUGUCAUCAGCCUGUCUCCAAAGCUGAGGUCUUCUUUCAUAUUUGUCACCAACAGCUGUUUAGCACCUUUCCAGAUCAGCUGUGUUUUGGGGAAAAAACAUAUUGGCUUCCUUCAACUGCAGUUUAUUUUAUUGUGCUUGACCUGUCGUGGAGCAAAAAACCUCAUUUACAAGCACAGUUCAGUACAGACCUGACCGCUCCAGGCUUCUCAGCCACAUUUGCAAAAAUUAAAUGUUGCUGGGCAAGGAUGCCAGCACAGGGCUAAGCCUGGGUCAAACCACUCCUGCAGAAGGGAGGGAAUAGGCAAGAGCUGACAAUGGGAUGAAGAGGCAGGAGAGCUCCCUGAAGAGGGAGGCCAGCGGCAUGAGCUGCCCUGCCAGCAUCUGGGCAUGGGAAAGGCAGCAUAACAGAUUUUGACAAAUACCAUGAGAAUAUGCCGUGAUGGACCUCAUGUGCUAACAGAAAAUGGCAGGAGAUACCAGAUCUUCUGAAGGCAAAACUUAAUCCACAAUUGAAAAUGGAAGUGAAACAAGGUUUCCUGAGGAGAGGGGGCAAUCUGGAUGUGAUUGCAAACACCCCUGCAGUCCCUGGGAUCCAUGAGCAAGGACCAUGUGUGGAGAAGCAAUAGUCCAUUUAUCAUCUCAGUGCCACUCCAGCUUUUGGUACUUCUCACUUAUGACUUCAACCAGAGCUGUUCCUGGGGAAGUGCCAAGACAGUGCUUCAAGGACAACUGUCUCCUCCAAAGCCCUCAUUGCUGGGGAGACUCAGAUGUUAUGAAUAUACAUCACAGAUGUAUCUACCAUCAAACCUCGUUGGAAGGCUCCACUGAAGAGCAGCCGUGGACAGAGGAAAAAACCCAGCGCCAAGCCGGUGCGCAAGCAACACAGUGAUCAUUUGUUGAAGCUCACCAGGACAGUCAAAG
Molecule: long non-coding RNA, 1239 nt
Organism: Falco peregrinus (peregrine falcon)
Lineage: Eukaryota; Metazoa; Chordata; Aves; Falconiformes; Falconidae
Exons: 6
Source: RefSeq, a predicted model, not a curated record